AUCUGGGCAGAGGGAUCCUCCUCCUCUCAUCACUGGUGCUGGGUCUCCUUAGCCUGAGCUUCUCUUUGUUUAGGUGCUUGCUUGUGAAGAGUUGAAGUACUUGGUGGAACUGGAAGCUCACAGCUUCAGCAGAGCUGGGCAGCUCUCACCUCUGAGAAACAUUCAUGAGAGAAAAAGCUACAAGCUGCAAACCCCUGAUUUUUCUUUGCUUUUAAUUUUAUCCUUCCCUCUAUUUUUCUACAGCUUCUUUGUUCCAGUAUGCAUCCCCUCCUGGCUUUUCUGCUGU
Molecule: long non-coding RNA, 286 nt
Organism: Pogoniulus pusillus (Red-fronted tinkerbird)
Lineage: Eukaryota; Metazoa; Chordata; Aves; Piciformes; Lybiidae
Exons: 3
Source: RefSeq, a predicted model, not a curated record